RNAcentral lists this small RNA (950 nucleotides) under Scopulariopsis sp. TUEF19. RNAcentral describes it as "eukaryotic LSU rRNA". The stretch from base 171 to 324 matches the Rfam family "5.8S ribosomal RNA". Lineage: Eukaryota; Fungi; Ascomycota; Sordariomycetes; Microascales; Microascaceae. The record is from RNAcentral.
AUUGUGAACCUUACCUCUUGCCGCGCGUUGCCUCGGCGGGGAGGCGGGGCUCGGGUUCGGCGCGCCCCUCACCGGGCCGCCGUCCCGGUCCCCAUCCCCGCCGGCAUCUCCAAACUCUAAAUUUUAAAAAGUUUACUGCGUGAGAUGAUUCAUCUCACAACACAAGUCAAACCUUUUAACAACGGAUCUCUUGGUUCUAGCAUCGAUGAAGAACGCGUCAAACGGCCCCAAGUAACGUGAAUUGCAGACUUACUUGAAUCGUCGGAUCUUUGAACGAACAUUGCGCCCUGCAGCAAUCUGCGGGGCAUGCCUGUCCGAGCGUCCUUUCUUCCCUCGAGCGCGGGUCCCCCUACGGGGCCUGACAACCGCCGGUGUUGGGGCUCUCCGGGUGGGGCUCGUCCCCCCCGCAGUCCCCGAAAUGUAGUGGCGGUCCAGCCGCGGCGCCCCCUGCAAUUAAUAUCCGACAUCUCGUCUCAGGCCCCGGCGAACGUCAGCCGUGAAAUCUUUUAGUUACACGGCGUGACCGCAGAUCAUGCCGGUUUACCCGAGGAACUUAAGCAUAUAUUUAAAUUCCAGGAAAUGAAGCCAACAGGCACUGACUUAUGACGAACACUGAUGCGGAAAGCAGUNNUCUUUUCAAUCUGGGCCCCUUUGGGGGCCCGAGCUGGAAUUUGAACAGGAUGCUAUGGCCUAGGACCCGUCCUAGUUACUUGGAUAGGAAUCCUUAGAGGGCUAGAGCCGCUUACCGUCCGACGCUGAUACAUUGUAACGCUCCCUCGACGAGUCGAGUAGUUUGGUAAUGCUGCUCGAAUGGAGGUAAUCCCUUCUCAACCUAGAACUGGACUAAUCCGUUAACGCGUAUAUCAUGGUCGAAUGAUGAAUACCACUUUCUAAANAGAUGUAAAAUCUCUGGCAAUUGUUUCAAAGGGAGAUGCUGUCGACGCGACUGU